GGUUGAUGAAUAGCGUGAUGUAAUAAUAACUUUGGAAUUUCUCAGAGGUCUUCUUACCAUCACUGUGAAUUACAGCAUGCCUCUUCCUUUGACAUGGCUUGGGGUGGACUGCCCUCUGGUGGUCAUGUUUUAUAUGUGAUUUUUUAUUUCCACAAUUGAGGGGAUUGGGUGCAGGGGUGAAUAUUUUUGCUCUACUUAUUUCAGGCCAGGUGAUGGCAAUGUUGCCCUGCCAGAAGAAAUGAGAGUAGGCCGCACGCGUUACCGAGUGCUGUGGAUGAACCCGCCAGUGUAAUCUGAAAUAAUUACAAGCAGAGGAGGAGACACACGUCGUGAUCCUCAAAGACCUUACCCAGAAAAUGGAAAAAAAACAAAAUAAUAAUAAAAAUAAUAAUAAAAUAAAUAAAUGAAUUAGGGAGCUUAUGAAUAUGCUAUACCCUAAAGAAUCCACAUCUGGCCAGACGACGACGACGACGACUCUUCCAGAACAUUCCCAUUGAUUAAUCCCCACCACUCUCCUCUGUCUAUUCGGGGUCGAACAGCAAACAGACAAAGAACAUCUGACGGCACAAACACUAGAGGCCACUUCACUCUGAAGAGGGUGAGCUCAUCGUUUAUGCGGCCUUCAUGAGAGCUUUUAUCAACAUGAGGCAAAAUGCCAUGCCAUUAUUUUGAUAAUUUCCCGUGCAUGCUUAAAAGAGGAGCAUUAAAAACCAAACCUGGCAGCAACCUCCCCUCAGGAUCAGCAGGGUCACGAUGGUGAUCUGAACUCACGUGUGAGGUUGUUGGAUGGCAGUUGCAUCACGCAUGACCCCAGAGGCUUCCUCUGAUGUGCUGAGUCUACGUUCACAUCACACGGAGACGCCGCAGGUGUGUCUCGGGAACAAAAGGCGCUCUCGUCUCGUCUCGAUUCGGAGCAGAGGGGCCACCGAUAGUAAAGCUUUGAUUAAAGCAAGACGCUCGCGCGAGGUUUAAAGUAUUUCUUUGAUUAAUGCAAGACGCUCACGCGAGGUUAAAAGUAUUUCUUUGAUUAAUGCAAGACGCUCACGC
Long non-coding RNA from Clupea harengus (Atlantic herring), 1047 nucleotides. The record is from Ensembl. Lineage: Eukaryota; Metazoa; Chordata; Actinopteri; Clupeiformes; Clupeidae.